UGGGGAGUGGUGUAAUCGGCAGCACAGGGCACUUUGGAUGCCCAAGUUCUGGUUCAAGUCCAGGCUCCCCAG
Molecule: transfer RNA, 72 nt
Filed under: Actinomycetota bacterium
Lineage: Bacteria; Bacillati; Actinomycetota
Description: tRNA-Gln
Rfam family: tRNA
About the family: Transfer RNA (tRNA) molecules are approximately 80 nucleotides in length. Their secondary structure includes four short double-helical elements and three loops (D, anti-codon, and T loops).
Source: RNAcentral